Molecule: ribosomal RNA, 483 nt
Filed under: uncultured bacterium
Lineage: Bacteria
Description: bacterial SSU rRNA
Rfam family: Bacterial small subunit ribosomal RNA
Source: RNAcentral
GAUGAACGCUGGCGGCGUGCCUAACACAUGCAAGUCGAACGGAACUUUUACGGAUUGAGACUUCGGUUGAUUGAGGUUUAAGUUUAGUGGCGGACGGGUGAGUAACGCGUGAGUAACCUGCCUUUCACAGGGGGAUAACGUUUGGAAACGAACGCUAAUACCGCAUAACAUAGCGAGACCGCAUGAUCUUGCUAUCAAAGAUUUUAUCGGUGAAAGAUGGACUCGCGUCCGAUUAGGUAGUUGGUGAGGUAACGGCCCACCAAGCCGACGAUCGGUAGCCGGACUGAGAGGUUGAACGGCCACAUUGGGACUGAGACACGGCCCAGACUCCUACGGGAGGCAGCAGUGGGGAAUAUUGCACAAUGGGCGCAAGCCUGAUGCAGCAACGCCGCGUGAGGGAAGACGGUUUUCGGAUUGUAAACCUCUGUCUUUGGUGACGAAGAAGUGACGGUAGCCAAGGAGGAAGCCACGGCUAACUACGUG